UGACACUGCAUGUCCAGAUAAUUAAAAAUAUCCAUGAUUAAAAAGAUAUGAAUUUUGUAACACCAUCUCGAUUUUUCCGUCUAAGAUACAAGAAGAGGAAUUAUACUUGAAAAAUCCUAUGUAGCAAGAAUAGCGGAAACCUUUUGGUAAUUUCAUGUGGCUAGGUAAUAUGGAAUGAUCAUGAACAAAACAUAGACUGGCCAGAAAUUAUUGAUCUAGUUCGUUCUUUUUCCCUGAAGCAGAUACACAAUGCAAUUAAACAAAACCAAUGAUAAUUCAAAGCGCGUAAACACAAACAGCUCUACUACAAAAGGGAAAGUUUAUUAAACACAAAUAUCACGGCAAGAUAUCCAUUGGUGACAUUCAUUCACGCGAAACCAUCACGACUUGCUUUCCAAUAUUGCGACCAGAGAAGAGACCAACUAGAGCAGUGGGAGCACUUUCAAGGCCAUGGGCAACAUCUUCCACAUAAACAACCUUGCCUGCCUUUAUUUGAGGAAUGACCAUUUCCAAAUAUUUGGGGUAAAGAUGAUAGUAAUCAAAAACAAGAAAUCCUUCCAUGCGGAUUCGUUUUGUGAUGAGGCAAAACAAGUUGUGCACUCCUUCAGUCUGCUCAAGGUUGUAUUGCGAAAUCAUCCCACACACAGCAAUACGGCCAUAGAGUUUCAUGUUCACAAGAACUGCAUCAAGCAUCUUCCCUCCCACAUUCUCAAAGUAGAUGUCAAUUCCAUCAGGGAAGUACCUAAUAAGAAACCAGUAUUUCCAGUCACUUGUGAAUAUUAUAGAAAGACUUGACAAAACUAGGAUGCCUACGAAAACUAUCUUCAUAAUAUCAUCAUAC
Molecule: long non-coding RNA, 841 nt
Filed under: Nicotiana tabacum (common tobacco)
Lineage: Eukaryota; Viridiplantae; Streptophyta; Magnoliopsida; Solanales; Solanaceae
Description: long non-coding RNA (NTAB_LNC015993)
Source: RNAcentral